UCGAUUUUAAAUGAACUAUCGUUGUGUAAACAUGAAACAUAAUGUGUUGAACAAAUAGAAGACGACAAGCGACGAGCGACAUCUGUCAAAUAUUAAAAUACACGCGUUCUUAUGGGCACAGAUUUUUUGGCAACAGCACGACUUCACCACAAAAAGGUUGAAGUCUUCGCUGUCGCCAAAUUAGAAAUGUUUCUAAUUUUGCCGACGACAAUGGACGCUGUAGAGCUGCCACUAACAUGUGAAAUGUAAAAUUAUUCAAAGUUCUCACAAGUAUGACGUUAUUUUGCCAGCAGAAACGUAAAAUAGCUUUAAUAUAUCAUUUAUAAUAACAAUCGAUUAUUUAAAACAAAUAAAUCGACCAUUUUUACAUUUUUUACGUAAAUAAUUUCACUUUAAACUAAAUAUGUAAAUUUUAUUGAAGUGAUAGAUGUUAGUACGGCAACAAUGAAAUUGCUUUUUGAUAUGUCGCUGCCGUCUUCAAAAUGUUCAAGACGCUGGCUUCAAAGCGACAUUUGUGAUCAGCCGUCGCUACGUCGUGUCGUGUCGUCGUCUUUGUGUUCAGCACUUUAAUCUUCUCUGCAAAAACUCUUGUCUAUGUAAAGGGGCCCGUUACACGUUCAAUAUAUAUCGUGAUAUUAGGAUCGCAAUCUACAUUGAAUAUUGAUGGAUAACAAAAAAUAUUUUAUAUAUGAAUUUGUUUAUUUUUUCGUACAUUUUUUAUAAAAUGUCGGAAGAAACCCGAAGAAAUUCAUGUUUGGCACUUGUUUUUGCUCCCACAGCAAUUCACUAUAUUUCACAAUAUUUGGAAGAUAUCAAAAAACCUUUGGCAGAUGAGUUGCAUAGCUCUGGCAGAAAUUCUACUGGAAACAUUAUAAUUCAUGUUCAUCUUAUUAGAAUAAAGUUGAUUUUAAAAUUUUGGCUUGUUGUCUUUUAACAAUUCGGACAUGUAAAUCACAAAAUAUUCUACACGUUCAAUAUUUAUCUCGCGAUCCACGAUCCGCUUUCUGGAUUUCAAAAUAUUGAAAAAUUUAGUGAUAUGGAUCGUGAUCCAUCAAUACUGCAUUCUAAACGUUCAAUAAAUAUCGUGAUACAGGAAAUAUCAUGAUAAAUACUGAACGUAAAGCAAGCUCAAAACUGAAUGGCAAAAAUAAUGUAACGAAAAUGGCACCAGAACAAACUAGAAUAGACAAUGGAAAUCGAUAACUUACCAGAUUUAUCUAGACAUCGAUAUUCGUAGUUGCCAGAAUGUUCGAGUGCUAAGGGCUGCCGGACUGGCAGCAAGACACGGUUCUAAUAAGAGAGUUGUCCAGUGAGGACAAUUCUAAGGAGAGAGUUGUCGAGUAAAGUGUGAACAAGCUAUAAGUUAGAGUUGUAAAGUAGAGUAUUGAGUAAUAAAGUGUUAAGUUAUAAGGAAUUAUAAAUAAAGAUUAGUGUGUAGCCAUUAAAGUGUGACUUUUAUUUGACAGUCCAGUGAUCGAACUCAGGAUCCAAGGGCUCCAUAGGAGACACUCUGUUUAGCACGUCGAAAAUAAGUAGUGAAACUGCUACUCCAAAAGUCAAAUGUAAUUUGUUGUACAUAAUCCGAUGUAAUAAUACCUAAUUCGAAAGUAAUACAGUGAUCCCCGCUUAAGUUCCACCCCUUUUUAGUGCAUUUCCCUCUUAAGUGACUGCCCUACAAGACGGAGCAAUAGUAACAUUUUGUAGUUAAAUGGCAAUCUCGGUAGUUAGAGAUGCACGUACUACAAUGAGCCGAUCAAAAUCUCCGCUAUGGCCGCCAUUCAUAUGAAAAAAAAAUUGAAGUGAGUGGAUAGCGGUAAUAUGGUGGACUGGAUGCUGCAGCUUAUUUUAAAGGAUUAUAACUGCAGAAAAUGGUCUCGGAAGGCAAAGCGAGCUGCAACGCACAUCUGGUGCGUACAUGCAAAACUAAAAAGAGAAGCAGAACAAGGAUUAUGCCAAUUUAGGCAGAUGGAUGAGUUGAUAAUAUCAGACCUUAUAUAUAUAUUUGCAAACUUAGGAGGAAAAAUUAAAUUAAAUUAACGAAACGGUGACCCAACAAAUGACCAAUACCUGUGAUUAAAGGGUUACACUGAAAAUGAUAAAUCGAACAGUCUCCCCUGAUAGAUGGCUGAUUAAAAAAAAACUACUACAGGGGGCUCUGCUAACCACAGAGUGACAUAUGCCUUUCCAAAACGAAGAAAAAUUAGAGCAGAAAGACAUAUGCAGCAUUGGCACCAAAAUCAAUGAGAGAGAGCGAGCAAGAUAAUCACACUUACUUGGUAACUUUCUCUACUCGUCUUGCAGGGCGUAUUUUGCGGCAUCGUUGUUUUUUCUUUAAAUUUACAUAUAAAAUUCCCUCUUUAAGUGCCUUCGCUUAAAUGCCAGUAAUAUUUAAGCCUUUUAAUAUUUUUGACAUUGAAUGCGCUGAGUAUUGUCCAAAGGAAAACAUAAACAUUGUUUUGUAAUGAUUUUUUUCAUAUUUAUUGUUAUUAAUAAGUAUUUUUGUUAUUAAUAAGAAAUAAAUGUGACCUUCAUUCUAAAAGAAAAAAUAUUAGUUCGAAGUAUUUGAAAAAAUGCUUGGUAAGUAUCUCGAGGGAAUCAUUUAAGUGCCUUUCCCUCUUAAAUGUCACAAAAGUCUUGCAUGUUGAGAAGGAACACUUAAUCGGGGUAAGUAUCUCGAGGGAAUCAUUUAAGUGCCUUUCCCUCUUAAAUGUCACAAAAGUCUUGCAUGUUGAGAAGGAACACUUAAACGGGGAUUACUGUAAUACAAUAUCUGUUAAAUAAUAAGUAUAUGAAAAUUAUUGUGUUGUUUUAGGUUUGCAAUUAAAUUCAUUUCAAUAAUACCUGUUGUAGAAUAUUUUGUGUUGUAUUUUUAGGAUUGCAUGGUUUUUGUUACUUUCUGAUACAAAGAACUAACAGCCCUAUUCUGUGCACUUUACAAAUUCAAAAAAUUUCUAAUUUGUAAAAAAUUUAAAUUUAUCAAUAAUUUCGUAUUCUGUGUCUAAAAUAAAAAGCUUUUUUCUUGUUAGAUUGUUAAGAAGUAAAAGGCUCUUGACAAAUAAAAUAUCUCGUUGUGGAUAGCUGUGAAAGUGAGUUUGUUGUAAUGGAAAUAUUUUGCUUUUGUCGUUAUUUUUAUACAAAGUGGAAAAAUAUGAACAUGUUGAUGGCUCGCGAUAUUAAGAACUUUAUUUUUUUCUUUUUUGUAUAAAAAAUGAAGAUAAUGGAGAUAAUUUCGCCAAUAAUGAAGAAAGUUUAGAAUUCGUAGUUCCCAAAGAACUUUUCUGAAGCUAAACAUAACAACCAACUAAACCAAAAUUGCAUUCCAAAUAUUUUUAAAUAUAUUAUAAAGGGCAUAUGUACAUAUCAGAGAGCAGCUUCGGGUAUGUUCGAGUGUGUUCAAUCACACUAGCUUAAAUUCGGUACGAGUGUGUCGUAACACUCUUCAAACACGUGUUCGAUCGAGUUUAGAACCCGAAGCGAAAAUAACGCAAACGAACAAUCAAGACGGUCCUAUCUUCGAGUGCAAGCAGCAAACUCGGAUUUUAUGUAUAUUAUAUUUUCGGGUGUGUCGUGCACGUGUUGAUUGUGAUCGACACACUCGAGUGGCACUCGAAGACCAAAAAAUAAUAGAUAAACAUACGUACACACAUAUGUAUGUAUGUUGGCGUCGGGAUGACGCGUUCUGUCUUAGCUUUUUUGGUUGAAUAAUUUGAAUAUUAGACGUACAUAGUACAUAUUAUAAAAGAAUAAUUCAAUUUAAGAAUAGAAUUCACUCAAAACCUAUUUUAUUUAUUAAUUCAUAAAUCAUAAAUAAAAAACAUUUCAUUGCACUUAAAUAUUUUAAUUUUUUUUAAAUCACAAAUUUCAGGUGUAGACCAGAUAAGGUGUUUGUGCCAUUGGAAAUGUUCUCACAACCCGAAUUUUCUAUCGUUGUCAUUAUGAAUUAUAAAAAGUAAACAAAAGAAACAAAACCAAUAUUCGUUGACAAUCACUACGCAAUAAUAGCAUGACUGCCAAUUACAUACAUACAUAUUCUGAAAUUUUGUGCACACUCGUGUGUGACUCGAUCACAUUCAAUACGAUCGGGUUAGAGUGCCAGCUCGUUCACAAACGAGUGUCAACUCGGCACUCUGUUAAAACAAGCAUAUAUGCUUGUGUUUCGAGUGUCGCGAAAGGCUCGUUCGUUUUGAACAUGUCUCCAAGCGAUCAAUACGUGUAUUCAUACCGAAAAGUUUAAUCAAACGAAAUCAGAGUGGACAUUCGAGUGUGCACGAAAAUGAUAUAUCCGUUGCAGCUCUCUGGUACAUAUGUAUAUAUAUUAUGUUUUAUAGUAUUCUAUGGCUUUGCGGGGGAGCAAGAGACUCCCUGUUUAGUUAGGGAGGCUGACGAGACUCUGGCGACCGAGUAAAGGGGGUAUAACCUUAUCAUCUACAUAUAUAGGGUUGUAAAACCAAACCAAAUACUUUGCAUCAGGUCUGGGAGGCUUCAGUCGAUAUUUCGACAGCAGAAUCGGAUAAAUAGGCUGAUAACCCGUCAAUCGUAAACCAAACUUAUCAACGAAGCCACAAUGAAGAAUGCUCGGUUAAAACAAACACUCAUCCAAAUAACGGCCUUUUGCAUGAAAAAUAGGGCCACAUUCGGAGCAUGGAAUAUUUGCGCACUCUCAGAAACUUCACGUCUAGACCAAGAGCAAAUAAUUUAUUCUGAAAUUGAAGUUAAAUUAUUAACUAUUUUGCAACAAACAUUGAAAUGUAUUCUAUUCAAUAUAAUUGGACAGAUAUCAGCUGUUCCUGUUUAAAUUAUUUUGUUUCCCACACGUGUGGGGAAAAGCUAUGCGUACUGAAGCUUUUUAUACUCUCGCAACAAAUGUUGCUAAAGAGAGUAUUAUAGUUUUGUUUACAUUACGGUUGUUUGUAACACCCAAAACUAAACGAGUUAGAUAUAAGGUUAUAUAUACCAAAGUGAUCAGGGUGAAGAGUGGAGUUCAAAUCCGAAUGUCUGUCUGUCCGUCCGUCCGUCCGUCUGUGCAAGCUGUAACUUGAGUAAAAAUUAAGAUAUCUUGAUGAAACUUGGCACACUUAUUUUUUGGCACCAUAGGAAGGUUGCUUUCGAAAAUGAAUGAGCAAAAUCGGACCACUGCCACGCCCACAAUAUUACGAAAACCGAAAACACAUAAAGUGCCAUAAAUAAAGCUAUGGAAAUAAAAAUUGGUAUACUAAAUUUUUUGUACAUAUCUCGCAAACCAAUAGAGCUAUAUAAACCAAACUUUCUGCAGUCGUUUUUUUUAGCCACUUCCUAAUACAGUCCAAAAAUGAAAGAAAUCGGUUCAUAACCACGCCCACCUCUGAUACAAAAGUUAGGUUGAAAAUUACUAAAAGUGGGUUAACUCAUUAACGAAAAACGUCAGAAACACUAAAUUUCACACAAGUGAUGGCAGAUAGAAGCUGCACUCAGAUUUUUUUAUAUAAUGGAAAAUGGGCGUGGCGUCGCCCACUUAUGGGUCAAAAACCAUAUCUUAGGAACUACUCGACCUACUUCAAUGAAACUUGAUUUGUAAUAGUUUCCUUACAUCCCAAUGGUAUGUUGUGAAAAUAGGCCAAAUCGCUUCACAACCACGCCUACUUCCUAUAUACCAGAACUUUGAAGACGAUCUGAAUCGUUUACUUUACAAUAUAUAAAGUAAGCACUAGUGAAGAUAUCGGUACAGAACUUUGCACAAAUACUAUAUUUAUAGUGUGGUUGCCCCAUUCUAAAAAUCGCCGAAAUCGGACAAUAGGUUUUUAAGACCCCAUAUAUCGAACACGAAGACCUCGGUGCUUCUAACCUAAUAUUAUGGUUUCCAACUUUCAAUGGACUUUAUACAAUAUAUAUGAAGAAUAUGGGGGUCAAAUUGUGUAUUAUUAAUAUAAAUAAAGUUAAAUAAAUAAAUUGCGAGAUAUGGGUAUCGUUGGAAAGAGGAGGUUCUGGAGCUGACUUAUAGUUUUCGAGAUAUUCGCACUUAAAGUUGAAAAAUGUGCAACUUUUAUCUCGAAUUUUCACAAUAUAUACCGAAUAUUUUAUCAAUAUUUUGCACUUAUUUUACAUUUACACUUCACCACAUUGUUUCUGCAUAUUUAUUUUAUAAAAAUUAUGACAAAAAUAGCUGUAAAUAAAUAUUUAACAUUUUACACAAAUCUUCGUUUAAAAUAUAGCAAAAUGGUUGCAGGUUGACAAGUAAUCAGAAAAAAGAAGGAUUAUACCCCAAAUACAUAAACCAUAAUGGUGUUAUGCCUAAUGCAAAAUCUUUCGGUAUUGCCUUUUCUUUGAUAACCCCCGGUGAUGGCCCGACCAGGGUUAUUUUUUUAAAGCGCGGGCGAAGGCCGCCAAUGCAGAAAGAAUUUCUUUGCGAAAGAACUUUUCAUUUCCCCCUCUUUGAUAACUUCCGGUGUUGGCUCGACCAGGGUUAUUUUUUUUUUGAAGCGAGGCCCAAGGCCGCCAAUGCAGAAAGUAGUUCUACAAGAAAAAACUUUUCAUUUCUCUCUCUUUGAUAACUCCCGGUGUUGGCUCGACCAGGGUUAUUUUUUUGAAGCGCGGCCGAAGGCCGCCAAUGCGGAAAGUAUUUUUACACGAAAGAACUUUUCAUUUCCCUUACUUGUAGUACAUAGAGUUAAUAUCUUUUAAUAUUAAUACAAUCUUUUUAUAGGGCAUUUGUUUUCUGCAUUUGAGGUAUUUAUUUAUUUUGAUUCUUCUCAUUCGUUUGCAAAAUAUCUGAUAUGGUAACACUUAUUACUUGUCAAGCUGCAACCUUUUUUGUUAUUGUUGAAAUUAAGAGAUUUGUGUAAAAUGUUAAAUAUUUAUUUACAGCUAUUUUCGUCAUAAUUUUUAUAAAACAAAUAUGCAGAAACAAUGUGGUGAAGUGUAAGUGUAAAAUAAGUGCAUAAUAUUAAUAAAAUAUGCGGUAUAUAUUGUGAAAAUUCGAGAUAAAAGUUGCACUUUUUUCAACUUUAAGUGCGAAUAUCUCGAAAAAUAUAUGUCAGCUGCAGCUAUAUAUUCUUAAUCUGGAGAACCUCCUCUUUCCAUCGAUACCCAUUUUUUUACCGAAAGCCUGGGAUAGUAUACUAAAGUUUCCCCAAAUUUCUUACUUGAUAAAAAUAUGAACAAAUUUUAAUUUUUUUUGUUAUUUUGUCAAGUAAAUAGACAUUUGAAUUAUUACAACUUUGUUUAUAUACACAAUAACCAUGUUGACAGAUAAAAAGUGUUGCCAUAUCCAAACAAAUCAAAACAAAAAAAUAAAUUUCGCACAUUACUUCCCUGCAAGACGGAUUUAGUUAUUUAUCUUAUCGAACGGUGGUUACCAGUAAAAAAAGCUCGUAUUAUUUUUGCGGUCACUCUUGUUCAAGCAUCAGGAAAAAGGUUACCACUUCUCCUCUUUUACAGCACGUCGGUGUGAUUAUCUUGUUCGCUCUAUCUCAUUGCUUUUGGUGCAAAUGCUACAUAUGUCUUUCUGAUCUAAUUUUGCUAUUGUUUUGGAAAACAAUCUGUGGUUAGCAGAGCCAUCUGAAGUCGUUUGUUUCCUUCAUCAUUGUUAUGGUCACCCUUAGUCACUGGAAGUGGUCAUUUGUGUGGUCACCCCAGCCCCGUUACUAAAAUUUGGUUCACUGGUCACCUCGUUAAUGCUACCGGUUACCUUUUAUUUCGUUUAGAAAUAAAAAAAGAAGUUUAUAUUUCCUUAUUUUAAUUUAUUUAAUUGUAUGAGGUAUAUACAUUUAUAAAUUAGUAUGGUAUUUUACAUUAUUAAUAAUUAUUAUAGAUUAAUUUUAAAAUAUUAGCAAUGCAGUACUAAGUAAAAUUUAAUUUUUAUAAACAUUUUUGUUGCUAUCAUUUAUACAUUGACAAAAUUUACUUAUUUUACAUAUAAAGUAAAAUGAUAAAUUGUAAGUUCAGCUUAAUAAUUCUUGCAUAGUGAAAUCAGAAGCAAGAUGAACAUCUUCGGCGUCUCAGUAUUGUUUUUUUGAGCUCUGUUAAUUGUUAACUAUCCAUUGUGUAGAUCCAAGGGCUCCAUAGGAGACACUCUGUUUAGCACGUCGAAAAUAAGUAGUGAAACUGCUACUCCAAAAGUCAAAUGUAAUUUGUUGUACAUAAUCCGAUGUAAUAAUACCUAAUCCGAAAGUAAUACAGUGAUCCCCGCUUAAGUUCCACCCCUUUUUAGUGCCUUUCCCUCUUAAGUGACUGCCCUACAAGACGGAGCUAACCCAUACACCACUACACAUGCAAAGUUUUUCAGCUUUUACCAACACAUACGCAAUAGUAACUUUUUGUAGUUAAAUGACAAUCUCGGUAGUUAGAGUGGCAACAUUCAUUAACCCUAAUUUUUGUAUGUAUAAGAGAGAGAUGCACGUACUACAAUGAACCGAUCAAAAUCUCCGCUAUGGCCGCCAUUCAUAUGAAAAAAAAAUUUGAAGUGAGUGGAUAGCGGUAUUAUGGUGGACUGGAUGCUGCAGCUUAUUUUAAAGGAUUAUAACUGCAGAAAAUGGUCUCGGAAGGCAAAGCGAGCUGCAACGCACAUCUGGUGCGUACAUGCAAAACUAAAAAGAGAAGCAGAACAAGGAUUAUGCCACUUUAGGCAGAUGGAUAUUUGCAAACUUAGGAGGAAAAAUUAAAUUAAAUUAACGAAACGGUGACCCAACAAAUGACCAAUACCUGUGAUUAAAGGGUUACCCUGAAAAUGAUAAAUCGAACAGUCUCCACUGAUAGAUGGCUGAUUAAAAAAACUACUACAUAUGCAGCAUUGGCACCAAAAUCAAUGAGAGAGAGCGAGCAAGAUAAUCACACCGACAUGCCGUAAAAGAGGAGAAAUGGUAACUUUCUCUACUCGUCUUGCAGGGCGUAUUUUGCGGCAUCGUUGUUUUUUCUUUAAAUUUACAUAUAAAAUUCCCUCUUUAAGUGCCUUCGCUUAAAUGCCAGUAAUAUUUAAGCCUUUUAAUAUUUUUGACAUUGAACGCGCUGAGUGUUGUCCAAAGGAAAACAUAAACAUUGUUUUGUAAUGAAUUUUUUCAUAUUUAUUGUUAUUAAUAAGUACUUGUGUUAUUAAUAAGAAAUAAAAGUGACCUUCAUUCUAAAAGAAAA
This is a long non-coding RNA of Zeugodacus cucurbitae (melon fly), 9102 nucleotides long. RefSeq lists it as uncharacterized. The transcript is spliced from 6 exons. The record is from RefSeq and is a predicted model, not a curated record. Lineage: Eukaryota; Metazoa; Arthropoda; Insecta; Diptera; Tephritidae.